GAAAUUACCCCUUAACUCCCAGCCGGGCUUCAGCCAGUUGGUCCCCGAAGAGCUGAAGAGGGGCCCCCGAGCUGGCUGGGGGGAGGUUCCCCAGGGCCACUGCAGUCACUGUAACGCCUUCCUGGAAAAGCUGGACAAAGUGCUUCAAGGUUGGGAAGUGUCUUCAAAACCAGCAGAGAAGCCACAGGCACUGGGGCAGCCCCAGAAAGUCUUGGAGGGACCCAACAGGCAUACCCCAAAGGGGGGCCGAGCUCCCCGGAGUGACCUCAGGGACAUUGAGCGGGUUAAACACCAGCAUCGGCUGGUGACUGAGCAGUUGCAGGAUCUGUUUGGGGAGAGACGGGAAAGGACCAGCAAGGCUGAGCAGCCCCCCAGGGAGUGGCCAGAGGGAAGCCUUGGGGAUCAGGGGACCAAGAAGUCCUCAGUGGAGCAGCUAAACUGAGGUUCCACUGGCAAACCCAGGAGCCCUACGACCUUCCUCAGCUGCAAUGAGUGUUGCAGAAAGGGUUCAGUCUGAUUCAUCCCUGGCCCCAAGACAGACUGGACCUGGAGGGAUCUUACUGGAAUAGUCUGGAGUGGAAUUGGCAGAUAUGGGCCGUGGACUCGGUCAGGAAUCUGCCAGGGUGUUUCAGACCAUUUCAAUUUGCCAGAUCUUCCUCAGAAAUGGUCCAAGGGCCCUUUGCCUUCAGCCCCAGGACUGUCUCCCUUACUAAUCCCUAUGGAAAUAACAAUACCUGUUUGCAUAUCAUCUUAAUAUUUACCAAGCACUUUCUUCACUACAACUUGGUGGGGGAGAUGAUACCCCCAUUUUACAGAUAAGGAAACUGAGGCAGAGGGUAAGUGAAUCACCAAGGGUUACACAGCUAUUAAGUAUCUGAGGCAGGAUUGGAACUCAGAUCGUCUGACCCCAAGUCUGGAGCUCUUUUUCCCGAUUCCGUGCUGCCUUCUAAAAUCUUCUGAUCCCUCAUCCCUGGCUCAAGAAUCAGAGAAAUAAAUUAAGAGCUGGAAGAGAGGGGCCUAUCUCC
RNAcentral lists this long non-coding RNA (1025 nucleotides) under Vombatus ursinus (common wombat). Its description in RNAcentral is "lncRNA (ENSVURG00010009963.1)". The record is from RNAcentral. Lineage: Eukaryota; Metazoa; Chordata; Mammalia; Diprotodontia; Vombatidae.